UGCACCAACAGCAUCAUUUCCCUUCAUCCCCAAAGGAAUGUUUGGCAUCUUUCUGCAAAGACCUAUCUAGAAGCAACACUUCUCUCCCUCUGUCCCUCUGUCCCCCCUCCCUCCCUCCCUCUCCCCCAUGCGCCCCCCCCAACACCCCCCCCCCCCCGCCCCCGUCAUGGUGCAUUUCCACCGGCGCUUGGUGCUGCUGAGCCCGAGCGAGUCUGGGCUCCUCCCGCGGGGCUCCCGUCCCGGCCGGAGGGAAGCGGAGCGCAGCCCUUGGUCUCCCCGGGGUCUCCCGGCCGCGGUCCCCUCCAGGGGGAGCGGGGCACCCCGCGGAGUCCCAGCCCCCCCGCCCCCCCGCGGCCCCUCCCCCGCGGUCGCGCCCUGCGGCGUCGCCUUGGCUUUCCUGCUCCCGCUUCCUGCGCGCGCCGCCGGGGAACCCGCUUGGCGGAGGAGCCGCGGCUGGGGGGCUGGGGGGGCCUGGGGGGCCUGGGGGGCCUGGGGGGCUGGCGGCGCGGAGCGAGCUGCGCUCCCCACCCCCGGCCCUCCUGCCGCCCCGCGGCCCCGGCCCGGCCCCCGGCCCUGUCCCCCAUCCCUGUCCCCGUCCCUGUCGCCAUCCCUGUCCUGACCUGUCCCCAUCCCUGUCCUGCCCCAGUCCCCGUCCCUGUCCCCCGUCCCCUGCCCCAGUCCCCGUCCCUGUCCCCGUCCUGUCCCCGGCGGCCCCGCCCCCGCACUCGGGGGAAGCCGGGUCCUGCCCAACCCCAGCUCCCGGAGGCCUGCGCUCUGUGCUGCCGGCACAGGUGGCCGGGGCGGGGGUCCCAGGGCGGGGAGUGGCCGCGACAGAGGCUGGGGGGGUGGGUGGGGGCCAGGACGGACAGGGACAGGGAUCUGGCCAUCGCCCGGCCCACGGAACUCCAACCCGGUCUCCAGGGCCGUGGGUGUGGUUCUGAACUGUGGUCUUUGAUUUUUCCUAGGAUGAUGUGCAAGGGGGUCCACAAGUCGCCCCCCAAAGUCUGUGUCCUUUGA
RNAcentral lists this long non-coding RNA (1017 nucleotides) under Canis lupus familiaris (dog). RNAcentral's name for it is "lncRNA (ENSCAFG00030022439.1)". The record is from RNAcentral. Lineage: Eukaryota; Metazoa; Chordata; Mammalia; Carnivora; Canidae.